AUUCAGCUGACGAGUCCUAAAUAGAACGAAAUGCUCAUGAUGGAU
Molecule: non-coding RNA, 45 nt
Filed under: Schistosoma mansoni
Lineage: Eukaryota; Metazoa; Platyhelminthes; Trematoda; Strigeidida; Schistosomatidae
Source: RNAcentral